CCAAACUUGGUCAUUUAGAGGAAGUAAAAGUCGUAACAAGGUCUCCGUUGGUGAACCAGCGGAGGGAUCAUUACAGAGAGAGUUGAAAAACUCCCUAAACCCACUGUUAACUUACCUUGAGUUGCUUCGGCAGGCCGUCCCAGGGCGGGAUGCUUGGCCUGUAAAGGCGCCUGCCGGAGGACACGCAAACUCUGUUUAUAGUUGGCUGUCUGAGUGAAAUCAAAUAAAUCAAAACUUUCAACAACGGAUCUCUUGGUUCUGGCAUCGAUGAAGAACGCAGC
This 281-nucleotide unclassified non-coding RNA is filed under the name uncultured fungus. Its description in RNAcentral is "partial contains small subunit ribosomal RNA, internal transcribed spacer 1, and 5.8S ribosomal RNA". The stretch from base 1 to 73 matches the Rfam family "Eukaryotic small subunit ribosomal RNA", at positions 1759 to 1831 of the family's 1831-position model. Lineage: Eukaryota; Fungi. The record is from RNAcentral.